AGUGAACGCUGGCGGUAGGCCUAACACAUGCAAGUCGAACGGCAGCACAGUAAGAGCUUGCUCUUACGGGUGGCGAGUGGCGGACGGGUGAGGAAUACAUCGGAAUCUACUUUUUCGUGGGGGAUAACGUAGGGAAACUUACGCUAAUACCGCAUACGACCUACGGGGGAAAGCAGGGGAUCUUCGGACCUUGCGCGAUUGAAUGAGCCGAUGUCGGAUUAGCUAGUUGGCGGGGUAAAGGCCCACCAAGGCGACGAUCCGUAGCUGGUCUGAGGGGAUGAUCAGCCACACUGGAACUGAGACACGGUCCAGACUCCUACGGGAGGCAGCAGUGGGGAAUAUUGGACAAUGGGCGCAAGCCUGAUCCAGCCAUACCGCGUGGGUGAAGAAGGCCUUCGGGUUGUAAAGCCCUUUUGUUGGGAAAGAAAAGCAGCAGGUUAAUACCCCGCUGUUCUGACGGUACCCAAAGAAUAAGCACCGGCUAACUUCGUG
This 492-nucleotide ribosomal RNA is filed under the name uncultured bacterium. RNAcentral's name for it is "partial 16S ribosomal RNA". It matches the Rfam family "Bacterial small subunit ribosomal RNA", at positions 29 to 507 of the family's 1533-position model. The record is from RNAcentral.